RNAcentral lists this ribosomal RNA (2930 nucleotides) under human gut metagenome. RNAcentral describes it as "bacterial LSU rRNA". It matches the Rfam family "Bacterial large subunit ribosomal RNA". The record is from RNAcentral.
UUAAGUUAUUAAGGGCGCACGGUGGAUGCCUUGGCACUAGAAGCCGAUGAAGGACGUUACUAACGACGAUAUGCUUUGGGGAGCUGUAAGUAAGCUUUGAUCCAGAGAUUUCCGAAUGGGGAAACCCAGCAUGAGUUAUGUCAUGUUAUCGAUAUGUGAAUACAUAGCAUAUCAGAAGGCACACCCGGAGAACUGAAACAUCUUAGUACCCGGAGGAAGAGAAAGAAAAUUCGAUUCCCUGAGUAGCGGCGAGCGAAACGGGAAGAGCCCAAACCAACAAGCUUGCUUGUUGGGGUUGUAGGACACUCUAUACGGAGUUACAAAGGACGACAUUAGACGAAUCAUCUGGAAAGAUGAAUCAAAGAAGGUAAUAAUCCUGUAGUCGAAAAUGUUGUCUCUCUUGAGUGGAUCCUGAGUACGACGGAGCACGUGAAAUUCCGUCGGAAUCUGGGAGGACCAUCUCCUAAGGCUAAAUACUCUCUAGUGACCGAUAGUGAACCAGUACCGUGAGGGAAAGGUGAAAAGCACCCCGGAAGGGGAGUGAAAUAGAUCCUGAAACCGUGUGCCUACAACAAGUCAAAGCUCGUUAAUGAGUGAUGGCGUGCCUUUUGUAGAAUGAACCGGCGAGUUACGAUUGCAUGCGAGGUUAAGUCGAAGAGACGGAGCCGCAGCGAAAGCGAGUCUGAAUAGGGCGAAUGAGUAUGUAGUCGUAGACCCGAAACCAUGUGAUCUACCCAUGUCCAGGUUGAAGGUGCGGUAAAACGCACUGGAGGACCGAACCCACGUACGUUGAAAAGUGCGGGGAUGAGGUGUGGGUAGCGGAGAAAUUCCAAACGAACUUGGAGAUAGCUGGUUCUCUCCGAAAUAGCUUUAGGGCUAGCCUCGGAAUUGAGAAUGAUGGAGGUAGAGCACUGUUUGGACUAGGGGCCCAUCUCGGGUUACCGAAUUCAGAUAAACUCCGAAUGCCAUUCAUUUAUAUCCGGGAGUCAGACUGCGAGUGAUAAGAUCCGUAGUCGAAAGGGAAACAGCCCAGACCACCAGCUAAGGUCCCAAAAUAUAUGUUAAGUGGAAAAGGAUGUGGGGUUGCACAGACAACUAGGAUGUUGGCUUAGAAGCAGCCACCAUUUAAAGAGUGCGUAAUAGCUCACUAGUCGAGUGACCCUGCGCCGAAAAUGUACCGGGGCUAAACAUAUUACCGAAGCUGUGGACUACACCAUUAGGUGUAGUGGUAGGAGAGCGUUCUAAGGGCGUUGAAGGUCGAUCGUGAGGACGGCUGGAGCGCUUAGAAGUGAGAAUGCCGGUAUGAGUAGCGAAAGACAGGUGAGAAUCCUGUCCACCGUAUGACUAAGGUUUCCUGGGGAAGGCUCGUCCGCCCAGGGUUAGUCGGGACCUAAGCCGAGGCCGAUAGGCGUAGGCGAUGGACAACAGGUUGAUAUUCCUGUACCACCUAUAAUCGUUUUAAUCGAUGGGGGGACGCAGUAGGAUAGGCGAAGCGUGCGAUUGGAUUGCACGUCUAAGCAGUAAGGCUGAGUAUUAGGCAAAUCCGGUACUCGUUAAGGCUGAGCUGUGAUGGGGAGAAGACAUUGUGUCUUCGAGUCGUUGAUUUCACACUGCCGAGAAAAGCCUCUAGAUAGAAAAUAGGUGCCCGUACCGCAAACCGACACAGGUAGUCAAGAUGAGAAUUCUAAGGUGAGCGAGCGAACUCUCGUUAAGGAACUCGGCAAAAUGACCCCGUAACUUCGGGAGAAGGGGUGCUCUUUAGGGUUAACGCCCAGAAGAGCCGCAGUGAAUAGGCCCAAGCGACUGUUUAUCAAAAACACAGGUCUCUGCUAAACCGUAAGGUGAUGUAUAGGGGCUGACGCCUGCCCGGUGCUGGAAGGUUAAGAGGAGUGGUUAGCUUCUGCGAAGCUACGAAUCGAAGCCCCAGUAAACGGCGGCCGUAACUAUAACGGUCCUAAGGUAGCGAAAUUCCUUGUCGGGUAAGUUCCGACCCGCACGAAAGGCGUAACGAUUUGGGCACUGUCUCAACGAGAGACUCGGUGAAAUUUUAGUACCUGUGAAGAUGCAGGUUACCCGCGACAGGACGGAAAGACCCCAUGGAGCUUUACUGUAGUUUGAUAUUGAGUGUUUGUACCACAUGUACAGGAUAGGUAGGAGCCGAUGAGACCGGAACGCUAGUUUCGGAGGAGGCGCUGGUGGGAUACUACCCUUGUGUUAUGAACCCUCUAACCCGCACCACUAAUCGUGGUGGGAGACAGUGUCAGAUGGGCAGUUUGACUGGGGCGGUCGCCUCCUAAAAGGUAACGGAGGCGCCCAAAGGUUCCCUCAGAAUGGUUGGAAAUCAUUCGAAGAGUGUAAAGGCAGAAGGGAGCUUGACUGCGAGACCUACAAGUCGAGCAGGGACGAAAGUCGGGCUUAGUGAUCCGGUGGUUCCGCAUGGAAGGGCCAUCGCUCAACGGAUAAAAGCUACCCUGGGGAUAACAGGCUUAUCUCCCCCAAGAGUCCACAUCGACGGGGAGGUUUGGCACCUCGAUGUCGGCUCGUCGCAUCCUGGGGCUGUAGUCGGUCCCAAGGGUUGGGCUGUUCGCCCAUUAAAGUGGCACGCGAGCUGGGUUCAGAACGUCGUGAGACAGUUCGGUCCCUAUCCGUCGCGGGCGUUGGAAAUUUGAGAGGAGCUGUCCUUAGUACGAGAGGACCGGGAUGGACUUACCGCUGGUGUACCAGUUGUUCUGCCAAGGGCAUUGCUGGGUAGCUAUGUAGGGAAGGGAUAAACGCUGAAAGCAUCUAAGUGUGAAGCCCACCUCAAGAUGAGAUUUCCCAUUUCUUUAAGAAAGUAAGACCCCUGAGAGAUGAUCAGGUAGAUAGGUUGGAAGUGGAAGGCUAGUGAUAGUUGGAGCGGACCAAUACUAAUCGGUCGAGGACUUAACCAA